This 254-nucleotide ribosomal RNA is filed under the name uncultured bacterium. Its description in RNAcentral is "partial 16S ribosomal RNA". It matches the Rfam family "Bacterial small subunit ribosomal RNA", at positions 524 to 776 of the family's 1533-position model. The record is from RNAcentral.
UACGUAGGGUGCGAGCGUUGUCCGGAAUUAUUGGGCGUAAAGAGCUCGUAGGCGGUGUGUCGCGUCGGCCGUGAAAACCUGGGGCUCAACUCUGGGCGUGCGGUCGAUACGGGCAUCACUAGAGUUCGGCAGGGGAGACUGGAAUUCCUGGUGUAGCGGUGAAAUGCGCAGAUAUCAGGAGGAACACCGGUGGCGAAGGCGGGUCUCUGGGAAUAUCCUGACGCUGAGGAGCGAAAGUGUGGGGAGCGAACAGG